Molecule: transfer RNA, 85 nt
Filed under: Myxococcales bacterium
Lineage: Bacteria; Pseudomonadati; Myxococcota; Myxococcia; Myxococcales
Description: tRNA-Leu
Rfam family: tRNA
About the family: Transfer RNA (tRNA) molecules are approximately 80 nucleotides in length. Their secondary structure includes four short double-helical elements and three loops (D, anti-codon, and T loops).
Source: RNAcentral
GCGAGCGUGGCGUAAUUGGUAGCCGCGACAGUUUUAGGUGCUGUUGGAUUUGUCAUCCGUGGGGGUUCGAGUCCCCCCGCUCGCA